RNAcentral lists this ribosomal RNA (301 nucleotides) under uncultured bacterium. RNAcentral's name for it is "partial 16S ribosomal RNA". It matches the Rfam family "Bacterial small subunit ribosomal RNA", at positions 509 to 807 of the family's 1533-position model. The record is from RNAcentral.
CAGCAGCCACGGUAAUACGAAGGGUGCAAGCGUUAAUCGGAAUUACUGGGCGUAAAGCGUGCGUAGGCGGUUUGUUAAGUCUGUUGUGAAAUCCCCGGGCUCAACCUGGGAAUGGCAAUGGAUACUGGCAAGCUAGAGUGUGUCAGAGGAUGGUGGAAUUCCCGGUGUAGCGGUGAAAUGCGUAGAGAUCGGGAAGAACAUCAGUGGCGAAGGCGGCCAUCUGGGACAACACUGACGCUGAGGCACGAAAGCGUGGGGAGCAAACAGGAUUAGAUACCCGCGUAGUCCCUGUCUCUUAUAC